RNAcentral lists this ribosomal RNA (468 nucleotides) under uncultured bacterium. RNAcentral describes it as "partial 16S ribosomal RNA". It matches the Rfam family "Bacterial small subunit ribosomal RNA", at positions 28 to 507 of the family's 1533-position model. The record is from RNAcentral.
GACGAACGCUGGCGGCGUGCUUAACACAUGCAAGUCGAACGGAAAGGCCCUGCUUUUGUGGGGUGCUCGAGUGGCGAACGGGUGAGUAACACGUGAGUAACCUGCCCUUGACUUUGGGAUAACUUCAGGAAACUGGGGCUAAUACCGGAUAGGAGCUCCUGCUGCAUGGGGGGGGUUGGAAAGUUUCGGCGGUGGGGGAUGGACUCGCGGCUUAUCAGCUUGUUGGUGGGGUAGUGGCUUACCAAGGCUUUGACGGGUAGCCGGCCUGAGAGGGUGACCGGCCACAUUGGGACUGAGAUACGGCCCAGACUCCUACGGGAGGCAGCAGUGGGGAAUAUUGCACAAUGGGCGGAAGCCUGAUGCAGCAACGCCGCGUGCGGGAUAACGGCCUUCGGGUUGUAAACCGCUUUCGCCUGUGACGAAGCGUGAGUGACGGUAAUGGGUAAAGAAGCACCGGCUAACUACGUG